RNA transcript from Mangifera indica (mango), 3418 nucleotides. It is a transcript of the gene named F-box/kelch-repeat protein SKIP11-like, with no coding region annotated. Lineage: Eukaryota; Viridiplantae; Streptophyta; Magnoliopsida; Sapindales; Anacardiaceae. The transcript has 3 exons. The record is from RefSeq and is a predicted model, not a curated record.
UGAAAGCCCAAAAAAAAAAAAAAAAAAAAAAACACACCCCCAGAGAAGUGCCUCUAAUUUGCAGAGAGAAUCUGAAGGUCUACUAAUAGAGAGAACAAGAACGAACAAGAAGAACAGAAAGAGUUAAUUAUAUUGUGUGUAUAGAGAGAGAGAGAAAGAGAGACCAAUUGUUAAAAAUUGAAAAUUCCAAUCAAGUCCUUCUUUACUUGUUAUCCAAUCCUCGUUGGUUCACUGUUUCAACCGCGUUUUUGGGGAGUUUGAGGUGUUGAAUUAUCAAAUUCCUUUGCCCUCGGUAUUUUGCUGUUAUUGGUGUUAGUGACUAAGAAGGAACUGAGGGCUGUGCUGUUGUUAUUCGGUGAUCCCGUGAGAACUGAAACGUCAUGUUCGAGGGUCGUUACUUGCUGAGUUCGAGGAGGGAGAUAACUAACUUGUGCCAGCUGGAAACCAAGUGGACUUAUAUGAUCUGCAAGGUGGACCGAACUGGUAAACGACCAUUAGAAAUUGAUGAGGAAGAUGAUUGUUAUCACCAAAGUAACAAGUCCUUUAAGCUAUCUGGUUCCCAUGGAACAAUACAGGGAGCUUCUCAAGAGCAAUCUGAUGAGCAGCGAUCCUGUGCUGGGGAUUCGUCAGAUUCACAUUCACUUAUCCACUCAAUUGGCCGAGACAACUCCAUUAGUUGUCUCAUUCGGUGCUCAAGGUCUGACUAUGGUUCCCUCGCAUCUUUGAAUCGGAAUUUCCGGUCCUUGAUUCGGAGUGGGGAGUUGUAUAAGCUGAGGAGGUUGAAUGGUGUGGUCGAGCAUUGGGUUUAUUUUUCUUGUCAUUUACUUGAAUGGGAGGCCUUUGAUCCAAUUCGUCAUCGGUGGAUGCAUUUGCCCAGGAUGGCUUCAAAUGAAUGCUUCAUGUGUUCUGAUAAGGAAUCUUUGGCAGUGGGCACUGAGUUACUUGUAUUUGGUAGGGAGCUAGCGUCCGGAAAUAUAUCCUAUGUUAUAUAUAGAUAUAGUAUUUUGACAAACUCAUGGUCUUCAGGGAUGAGAAUGAAUGAUCCAAGGUGUUUGUUUGGUUCUGCUAGCCUUGGAGAGAUAGCGAUUUUGGCUGGUGGAUCUGAUUUGGGGGGAAAUAUUUUGAACACUGCUGAGAUGUAUAAUUCUGAGACUCAAACUUGGAAGUCACUGCCCAACAUGAAUAAACCAAGGAAGAUGUGUUCUGGGGUAUUCAUGGAUGGGAAAUUUUAUGUUAUUGGAGGAAUUGGAGGAGCUGAUUCAAAGCUUCUUACAUGUGGGGAAGAGUUUGAUUUGGAGACGGAAACUUGGACUGAAAUUCCUAACAUGUCUCCUGCCCGUGUUGGUGCUACAAGGGAAAAUGAUAGACCUGCAUCUGGUGAGGCACCCCCCUUGGUUGCAGUAGUAAAUAAUGAACUGUAUGCUGCUGAUUAUGCUGACAUGGAGGUGCGCAAGUAUGACAAGGUGAGGAAACACUGGUUUACAGUGGGAAGAUUGCCUGAAAGGGCAAACUCAUUGAAUGGUUGGGGUCUAGCAUUUAGAGCAUGUGGAGACCGACUUAUUGUCAUUGGUGGACCUAGGACUUCUGGUGAAGGCUUUAUAGAGCUAAAUUCAUGGGUUCCCAGUGAAGGACCUCCACAGUGGAACUUGCUAGACAGAAAGCAAUCCGGUAAUUUUGUCUAUAAUUGUGCCGUGAUGGGUUGCUGAAGGGUUGGAAAUUGUUGGCACCAUCCAGACUGUGGUGGUGCUGCUUCUACAGGAUGUACAAGAUUGGUUUGCCCUCAAUACAAGAUUCUUGCUAAUGGUAUUUGAACGACAACCAGAACAUUUGUUCCAAUUCUUAUAUUGUUAUGCAUAUGGUGUAUGUGGGAUGUGGGGAGACCAUGUGCUUGGUUUUUAGUUGAGUGUUUAAAGAUUGUUUAAAGAUUCUUAGAAAUCUAGUUAAAAGUAGAUGCUGUCAAGUGUUUAUUGGUUUUUUGAGAAGAGUAAUGCUAUAAGCAUACACUUUUGAGUAUACAAUUGGGUACACAAAUAGUAUGUCAUUAUAUAAUUGACUGUUAUUUCAUUUUUAAUUCAAAAUCAUUCAAUUACAUGAUGAUACAUUUUAUGUAUAUCCGAUUUAUACUUAAAAGUAUGUGUACAUAGUUUUAUAGUUUUGAGAAAUAACUAUUGUUCAUUAUGCAUACAUUAUCUAUAAGAGAACAUUUUUCUUUUGACAAAAAAUCAUUUGUGAAAUGUUGCAUGUUCAUUUCCAAAUAUUUUAUUGCCAUUACUAAUUAUGACAAUAAGUUAUUGUAUAACAUUUUAUGAACAAAUAUUGAAACAUUUUGCUUUUCAGGGAUGUUAUGAGGGAAACUUUGAAAAUCUCAAUAUUGUAUUUUAUUAAUAAUAUAAUAUUGUGUUUCUAGCAUCAUUAAGUAAUUUUGUUGAAAUCUGUUGACGAAUAAUAGGAGACCCUUGGCCAAACUGAUAUCAUAUGAAAUGAAUAUCAGAUGGUACCAUGACUGAAAAAAUCAACUGUCUACUUUUGAGAAGCAUUUUAGCUCAAAAAAUAAACUUUAGGCAUGUAUGCAAAUGAGCUGUGCCAAAUCCUUGGGUAUUGUGUCUCGAGUUAGAUUUAGCUUUAAAAUUGAAGCUCAAGUUUUGUUUGUAACAUCUUUAAAAAAAGUUUGUUCUCAAUAUUUUCUAGUCAAUUGGAGUUUGAGUUGGAAUUUGAUCGAUACAAAAUUUUCUUGAAUCUUUUUGAUAGAAUACUGUUUGUAUCAUGUAUGCUUAAUUCAGUUAAUGUUUUAUAAAUAAUUAAUUUAAUAUCUAUAAAAUGAUGAUCAUACAUGACGAUUAUCUGUCUGCAGUCCGCGUGUGUGAUUAUACAUCUGUAUGUGCUUGGCUAACUAGUUUAACUUGAAUCCAACCCGUUCUUUUUAGGUUUGACCUCUAAAAUUAAGCAAACCCUAGUACCAAGUUUGAGCUUGGUUUACUCAUAAUGACAUGUCUCCAAUGUAACUCUUAUCAAAUUGAUUAAUAGCUUGGUUCAUUUGCAUGCCAAGAUUUAGGAAUCCCUGCAAGGUGCUAAUUGAUAUUUGAACAUGAAGUUUGCUGUUUUGCAAAUGUAAUUGGCAGAAGCGCCUAUGCACUAUCAUUACCGUGCAAAAUGACAACGUUUCGUGUAUUGUUUAUGUAAAAAUUGCUUCUGGAAUCAGAGGGUUUUUUUUUUUUUUUGGGAUUUUCAAGAUAAUGGUCCCCAGGUUUAGAACUACAAGAGGCAUAAUUCUCUGAAUAAUUGUAUUAGAGCUAGUUCUUGGUUGGGGGCUGGGGAAACAGGCUGUGUUUGCUUGGUAGAUGCUGUGCUUUAAAUUAUGUAGAAAACCAGAAAACAUGGGAAAGUCGUUAAAAAUAUCAAAUUGUGGUUAUGGAUUGAA